RNAcentral lists this unclassified non-coding RNA (284 nucleotides) under Imleria sp. RNAcentral's name for it is "partial contains 5.8S ribosomal RNA, internal transcribed spacer 2, and large subunit ribosomal RNA". The stretch from base 1 to 52 matches the Rfam family "5.8S ribosomal RNA", at positions 103 to 154 of the family's 154-position model. Lineage: Eukaryota; Fungi; Basidiomycota; Agaricomycetes; Boletales; Boletaceae. RNAcentral also lists the same sequence under 2 other names. The record is from RNAcentral.
AACGCACCUUGCGCUCCUUGGUAUUCCGAGGAGCAUGCCUGUUUGAGUGUCAUUAAAUUCUCAACCAUGACUUUGUUGACAUGGCUUGGAGUUGGGGGUUGCUGGCUUGUUUGUCAGCUCUCCUGAAAUACAUUAGCGGUGGACAAGCAAGGCCUUCCGACGUGAUAAUGAUCGUCGUGGGGCGGAGCAUCAACGUCUGUCUGCUUCUAAAUCCCAGAUGCCUUAGCUAGACAUCAUUUCGAACGCUUGACCUCAAAUCAGGUAGGACUACCCGCUGAACUUAA